RNAcentral lists this ribosomal RNA (1650 nucleotides) under Triticum aestivum (bread wheat). Its description in RNAcentral is "partial small subunit ribosomal RNA". The record is from RNAcentral. Lineage: Eukaryota; Viridiplantae; Streptophyta; Magnoliopsida; Poales; Poaceae.
GAAAAAACUAGUGGUAAGGGAACUAAUGCAUUUACUGAUGGUGGUUGGAGUAAUUGGAAUAGAGAGGAUGCUCUUCUUAAGCAUGUUGGUUGCAUAUCAAGUGUGCAUAAUGCAUCUCAAGAGAGAUAUAACUUAUUUGUGAACCCAAGUGCAACAAUUGAUGAUCUUUUUGUGAAGGUGAACAGUGAGGAUCUACGUCUUUAUAAGAUGAGGUUGAAGUAUUCACUUAGAUGCCAGUUUCUUCUUCAUCAAGGAUUGGCAUUUUGUGGGCAUGAUGAAAGUGAAUAGUCUAGCAAUAGAGGAAACUUACUUGAGCUAUUGAAGUGGCUUGCAGCAAAUAAUGAGGAGGCGAAUAAGUAUGUUUUGAAGAAUGCACCAGGUAACUGCCAAUUGACAUCUCAUCAGAUACAACAUCAGAUUAUUCAAUGUUGUGCACAACUUACUAGAAAGAAAAUUAUUGAUGAAUUUGGUGAUGAGCACUAUGCUAUUCUAGCCGAUGAGUCUAGUCAUGUAUCACAUAAAGAACAACUAGCUUUAUGCUUGCGUUUUGUAGAUAAAGUAGGGAGGCCGUCUGAGCACUUUAUUGGAGUUGUUCAUGUAAGUGACACUACUUCAUUGUCACUUAAGGAAGCAAUUGAAACUUUACUUACUGAUCAUGGUUUGACUAUAACACAAAUUCGUGGGCAAGGAUAUGAUGGGGCUAGUAAUAUGAGAGGAGAAAUUAAAGGAUUGAAAACAUUGAUCAUGAAAGAGUCACCUUCUGCCUAUUAUAUUCAUUGUUUUGCACAUCAACUCCAGCUAGUUCUUGUUGUUGUUUCCAAGGGAAAUGAUGAUUGUGUGUGGUUUUUUAAUCCAGUGUCUUUAUUACUGAAUGUUAUUCGAGUGUCUUGUAAGCGUCAUGACAUGCUUCGAGAUGCUAGACUUCAGAAUAUCCUGAAACUACUUGAAUGUGGUGAGUUAUAAACUGGGAGUGGUUUGAAUCAAGAGAUGGGGUUACCUAGGCCUGGUGAUACUCGGUGGGGAUCUCAUUACAAAUCUGUUCUUAACAUUAUUGCUAUGUAUCCCACAAUCCAUGAUGUGCUCAUAACUCUUGGACAAGAUGCUUCACAAAGAAGUGAUUGGCCCAAAAUUCAUACUAUUGUUGGAGUGUUCGAGUCAUUUGACUUUAUUUUCAAUGCACACUUGAUGCGUGUCAUUCUUGGCUACACAAGUGAUUUGUCUGAUGGUUUGCAAAGAAGAGACCAAUAUACUCUUACUGCAAUGGCACUUGUUAGAACUGCAAAAAGUAGAAUACAAGAGCUUAGGGAUAAUGGGUGGGAUGCAUUUCUGCAAAAGGUCACACUAUUUUGUAACAAGCAUGGCAUUCAAGUUCCUAAAAUGGAAGAUAAUUAUGUGCCUUAUGGAAGAUCAACACGGUUUGCUCGACCCCAAACAAAUGAUGAUCACUUCAGAAGAGAAGUUUUUCUUGGAUUCAUUGAUCAAAUUAGUCAAGAGCUUGAAAAUCGGUUUGAUGAGAUCAAUAUGGAGCUGCUAUCUUGUAUGUCUGCUUUGAAUCUCGCCGACUCAUUUGCUGCUUUUGAUGCACAAAAGGUAUGCAAACUUUCUUCUAAAAUUUUUAUUGCUUCCAAAAUUGGUACAUCAAAUCUCUAA